Molecule: small nuclear RNA, 106 nt
Organism: Microtus oregoni (creeping vole)
Lineage: Eukaryota; Metazoa; Chordata; Mammalia; Rodentia; Cricetidae
Source: RefSeq, a predicted model, not a curated record
GUGUCGCUUCAGCAGCACACGUACUAAAAUUGGAAAGAUACAGAGAAGAUUAGCAUGGCCCCUGCGGGAGGGUGACACGCAACUGUUUGGAGCAUUCCAUAUUAAA